Molecule: ribosomal RNA, 390 nt
Filed under: uncultured bacterium
Lineage: Bacteria
Description: bacterial SSU rRNA
Rfam family: Bacterial small subunit ribosomal RNA
Source: RNAcentral
UUAACGCCGGCGGCGUGCAUGAGACAUGCAAGUCGAACGGACGAGCUUGGCUUGCCUUGCUCGUUAGUGGCGGACGGCUGAGUAACGCGUGGGUGACCUGCCCCGAAGUGGGGAAUAACUGCCCGAAAGGGUGGCUAAUACCGCAUGCGGAGAUGGGUUCGAUCCCAUCUCCAAAGCCGCAAGGCGCUUCGGGAGGGGCCUGCGUCCGAUUAGCUCGUUGGUGGGGUAAUGGCUCACCAAGGCGACGAUCGGUAGGUGGUCUGAGAGGACGAUCACCCAGACUGGGACUGAGACACGGCCCAGACUCCUACGGGAGGCAGCAGUCGGGAAUUUUGCUCAAUGGGCGAAAGCCUGAAGCAGCAACGCCGCGUGAGGGAUGAAGGCCUUCGG